GAUUAACGCUGGCGGCGUGCAUAACACAUGCAAGUCGAACGAUGAGACUUAACUGAUUUCUUCGGGAUGUUUUUAAGUGGCUUGGUAGCAAACGGUGGAUUACCUCGUUAUUAACCUGCCUUGACUACGGGGAUAGCCUGUGGAUACGAAGAAUAAUACUCUAUGAUAUGAUACUAUCUCAUGAUAUUAUCAUCAAAGAUUUAUCGCUUGAAGAUGGACUUGCUUCUGAUUAGUUAGUUGGUGAGGUAACCGCACACCAAGGCAGCGAUCAGUAGCCGGCUUGAGAGAGUGGACGGGAACACUGGGACUGAGACACGGCCCAGACUCCUACGGGAGGCAGCAGUGGGGAAUUUUGCACAAUGGGGGAAACCCGGAUGCAGCGACGCCGCGUGAUUUAGAAGGCCUGCGGGUUGUAAAAAUCUUUUGUAUGGGAAGAAAAUGACAGUACCAUACGAAUAAGGACCGGCUAAUUACGUG
Molecule: ribosomal RNA, 477 nt
Filed under: uncultured bacterium
Lineage: Bacteria
Description: partial 16S ribosomal RNA
Rfam family: Bacterial small subunit ribosomal RNA
Source: RNAcentral